Molecule: long non-coding RNA, 220 nt
Filed under: Prunus persica (peach)
Lineage: Eukaryota; Viridiplantae; Streptophyta; Magnoliopsida; Rosales; Rosaceae
Description: long non-coding RNA (PPER_LNC002599)
Source: RNAcentral
AAAACCGAGACUUCCUGCCGAAAAUUCGGCAAAGUCUCCCCUAUAAAUUGGACAUUUCCCAAAAUUUAUACCUGCAUAAAAAUGCAUUUAAUAUUUCCAACUGGCAGCAUGCACAAUAUAAUUCAUGCAAUUCACAAAAAUGGCCUUCGGCCUUCCAAUAAUUCUUAAACGAUUAUCAAACAAUUCAAAUACCAAAAGAUGACUAAUAUUUAGUCUGCGG